AUGCUCUCCUCCCUCUUUACAUGCUCUCCUCCCUCUUUACAUGCUCUCCUCCCUCUUUACGUCCCCUUUACAUUCUCUCCUCCCUCUUUACAUGCUCUCCUCCCUCUUUACGUCCCCUUUACAUUCUCUCCUCCCUCUUUACGUCCCCUUUACAUGCUCUCCUCCCUCUUUACGUUCCCUUUACAUGCUCUCCUCCCUCUUUACGUUCCCUUUGCAUUCUCCCCUCCCUCUUUCGUCUCCUUUAAAUUCUCCCCUCCCUCUUUACAUCCCCUUUACAUUCUCCCCUCCCUCUUUACGUCCCCUUUACAUUCUCCCCCUCCCUCUUUACGUCCCCUUUACAUUCUCCCCUCCCUCUUUACGUCCCCUUUACAUGCUCCCCUACUUUACAUCCUUUACGUUCCCUUUACAUUCUCUCCUCCCUCAUUACGUCCCCGUUACAUUCUCUCCUCCCACUUUACGUCCCCUUUACAUUCUCUCCUCCCUCUUUACGUCCCCUUUACAUUCUCCCCUCCCUCUUUACGUCCCCUUUACAUGCUCUCCUACUUUACGUCCUUUACAUUCCCUUUACAUUCUCUCCUCCCUCAUUACGUCCCCGUUACAUUCUCUCCUCCCACUUUACGUCCCCUUUACAUUCUCUCCUCCCUCUUUACGUCCCCGUUACAUUCUCUCCUCCCACUUUACGUCCCCUUUACAUUCUCGCCUCCCUCUUUACGUCCCCUUUACAUUCUCUCCUCCCUCUUUACAUCCCCUUUACAUUCUCUCCUCCCUCUUUACGUCCCCGUUACAUUCUCUCCUCCCUCUUUACGUCCCCUUUACAUUCUCUCCUCCCUCUUUACGUCCCCUUUACAUUCUCUCCUCCCACUUUACGUCCCCUUUACAUUCUCUCCUCCCUCUUUACGUCCCCUUUACAUUCUCUCCUCCCACUUUACGUCCCCUUUACAUUCUCUCCUACCUCUUUACGUCCCCUUUACAUUCUCCCCUCCCUCUUUACGUCCCCUUUACAUGCUCCCCUACUUUACAUCCUUUACGUUCCCUUUACAUUCUCUCCUCCCUCAUUACGUCCCCCGUUACAUUCUCUCCUCCCACUUUACGUCCCCUUUACAUUCUCUCCUCCCUCUUUACGUCCCCUUUACAUUCUCCCCUCCCUCUUUACGUCCCCUUUACAUGCUCUCCUACUUUACGUCCUUUACAUUCCCUUUACAUUCUCUCCUCCCUCAUUACGUCCCCGUUACAUUCUCUCCUCCCACUUUACGUCCCCUUUACAUUCUCUCCUCCCUCUUUACGUCCCCGUUACAUUCUCUCCUCCCACUUUACGUCCCCUUUACAUUCUCUCCUCCCUCUUUACGUCCCCUUUACAUUCUCUCCUCCCACUUUACGUCCCCUUUACAUUCUCUCCUACCUCUUUACGUCCCCUUUACAUUCUCUCCUCCCACUUUACGUCCCCUUUACAUUCUCUCCUCCCUCUUUACGUCCCCUUUACAUUCUCUCCUCCCACUUUACGUCCCCUUUACAUUCUCUCCUACCUCUUUACGUCCCCUUUACAUUCUCUCCUACCUCUUUACGUCCCCUUUACAUUCUCUCCUACCUCUUUACGUCCCCUUUACAUUCUCUCCUCCCACUUUACGUCCCCUUUACAUUCUCUCCUACCUCUUUACGUCCCCUUUACAUUCUCUCCUACCUCUUUACGUCCCCUUUACAUUCUCUCCUCCCUCUUUACGUCCCCUUUACAUUCUCUCCUCCCACUUUACGUCCCCUUUACAUUCUCUCCUACCUCUUUACGUCCCCUUUACAUUCUCUCCUACCUCUUUACGUCCCCUUUACAUUCUCUCCUACCUCUUUACGUCCCCUUUACAUUCUCUCCUCCCACUUUACGUCCCCUUUACAUUCUCUCCUACCUCUUUACGUUGGUAUUUAGGCUUAUGUUGA
This 1926-nucleotide long non-coding RNA is filed under the name Carassius auratus (goldfish). Its description in RNAcentral is "lncRNA (ENSCARG00000050324.1)". Lineage: Eukaryota; Metazoa; Chordata; Actinopteri; Cypriniformes; Cyprinidae. The record is from RNAcentral.